RNAcentral lists this ribosomal RNA (382 nucleotides) under uncultured eukaryote. RNAcentral describes it as "partial 18S ribosomal RNA". It matches the Rfam family "Eukaryotic small subunit ribosomal RNA", at positions 592 to 976 of the family's 1831-position model. The record is from RNAcentral.
UGUAAGCGUAUACCAAAGUUGUUGCAGUUAAAACGCUCGUAGUCGGACUUUGGCAGUUCCGGAUGUGUGCACGUCGUGUGCGCACUUCGCGGGGAUUGCUUUUGUGGUCUUGCGUAGGAUGAGGCACUUUUAUUAGUGAACGUCCUCACGCAACCACUUUUUACUGUGGGAAAAUCAGAGUGCUCAAAGCAGGCAUUUGCCGUGAAUGUAUUAGCAUGGAAUAAUAGAAUAGGACUUGGUUCUAUUUUGUUGGUUUGUUGGGACUGAGUAAUGAUUAAGAGGGACAGUUGGGGGCAUUUGUAUUUCGGUGCUAGAGGUGAAAUUCUUAGAUUACCGAAAGACAAACUGCUGCGAAAGCGUCUGCCAAGGAUGUUUUCAUUGA